GACGAACGCUGGCGGCGUGCCUAAUACAUGCAAGUAGAACGCUGAAGGAGGAGCUUGCUUCUCCGGAUGAGUUGCGAACGGGUGAGUAACGCGUAGGUAACCUGCCUGUAAGCGGGGGAUAACUAUUGGAAACGAUAGCUAAUACCGCAUAACAGUAGAUAUUGCAUGAUAUCUGCUUGAAAGGUGCAAUUGCAUCACUACCAGAUGGACCUGCGUUGUAUUAGCUAGUUGGUGAGGUAACGGCUCACCAAGGCGACGAUACAUAGCCGACCUGAGAGGGGGAUCGGCCACACUGGGACUGAGACACGGCCCAGACUCCUACGGGAAGCAGCAGUAGGGAAUCUUCGGCAAUGGACGGAAGGCUGAACGAGCAACGCCGCGUGAGUGAAGAAGGUUUUCGGAUCGUAAAGCUCUGUUGUAAGAGAAGAACGAGUGUGAGAGUGGAAAGUUCACACUGUGACGGUAUCUUACCAGAAAGGGACGGCUAACUACGUG
RNAcentral lists this ribosomal RNA (495 nucleotides) under uncultured bacterium. RNAcentral's name for it is "partial 16S ribosomal RNA". It matches the Rfam family "Bacterial small subunit ribosomal RNA", at positions 28 to 507 of the family's 1533-position model. The record is from RNAcentral.